Molecule: ribosomal RNA, 464 nt
Filed under: uncultured bacterium
Lineage: Bacteria
Description: partial 16S ribosomal RNA
Rfam family: Bacterial small subunit ribosomal RNA
Source: RNAcentral
GACGAACGCUGGCGGCGUGCUUAACACAUGCAAGUCGAACGGAAAGGCCCCCUUGUGGGGUCCUCGAGUGGCGAACGGGUGAGUAACACGUGAGUAACCUACCCUUGACUUUGGAUUAAUUCAGGAAACUGGGGCUAAUACCGGAUAGGAGCUCCUGCUGCAUGGUGGGGGUUGGAAAGUUUCGGCGGUUGGGGAUGGACUCGCGGCUUAUCAGCUUGUUGGUGGGGUAGUGGCUCACCAAGGCUUUGACGGGUAGCCGGCCUGAGAGGGUGACCGGCCACAUUGGGACUGAGAUACGGCCCAGACUCCUACGGGAGGCAGCAGUGGGGAAUAUUGCACAAUGGGCGGAAGCCUGAUGCAGCAACGCCGCGUGCGGGAUGACGGCCUUCGGGUUGUAAACCGCUUUCGCCUGUGACGAAGCGUGAGUGACGGUAAUGGGUAAAGAAGCACCGGCUAACUACGUG